CGUCUCCACCGCGCCUCGUCUGCGCCGCAUGGUGAUGACCGGCGGCUUAGCCGGCGUUGGUGGCCGUGGUCGAUCCCUCGACUUUCGUAGCUUCUGGAAGGCCGGCACUAACGAGGUCCCCAGCCUCCGCGAGUUCCACGGGGCAUGUUCUUCACUGGCGUCAUGAGAGAGUGGGGGCGAGGAUGAGGCCCCUUCAUUUGGCAAGAUGUUCCACAGAUGGUCCAAUGGUGGAUUAUGAGAAGAGAAUUGCAUUAGGAGAUCUUGUAGAUUGUGAUAGCUUCCAGUGUUGACAAUGCUCGCAUGCACAUAAAAAACAUUUUAAAUCGGUUGCUGCGGGUGGCGGUGCUCUGGGGGUGCAAGGGUAGCGUGGUGCACAACUCCGACUGUUGAAGACACCGCGGCACAACCGCGUCGGUCUGUGUGCACCCCAAGUUCUUCCACACCAACCUGACCUUUCAUAAGUGGGUGUUCGGAGGUUUGGCGCCCUUGCCUAUCCAUUCUCUGAUUCGGUUUGGUGUGGUGGAGAUGUAAGUGUCUGAUAGUCUUCAGUUUGUCAGAACAAAGGGUACGAGGUAACUACAAGAUGCAUUGCUUGCUGGUUUGUUACGAUAUUUGACCUGAUGGGAGAUAAGAUGAAUUACUUGCUGGUUUGGUAUGA
Molecule: long non-coding RNA, 658 nt
Organism: Hordeum vulgare subsp. vulgare (domesticated barley)
Lineage: Eukaryota; Viridiplantae; Streptophyta; Magnoliopsida; Poales; Poaceae
Exons: 4
Source: RefSeq, a predicted model, not a curated record